Molecule: small nuclear RNA, 123 nt
Organism: Lynx canadensis (Canada lynx)
Lineage: Eukaryota; Metazoa; Chordata; Mammalia; Carnivora; Felidae
Gene: U2
Rfam family: U2 spliceosomal RNA
About the family: U2 is a small nuclear RNA (snRNA) component of the spliceosome (involved in pre-mRNA splicing). Complementary binding between U2 snRNA (in an area lying towards the 5' end but 3' to hairpin I) and the branchpoint sequence (BPS) of the intron results the bulging out of an unpaired adenosine, on the BPS, which initiates a nucleophilic attack at the intronic 5' splice site, thus starting the first of two transesterification reactions that mediate splicing.
Source: Ensembl
AUCACUUCUAGGCCUUUUGGCUAAGAUCACAUGUAUUAUCUGUUCUUACAAGUUUAAAGAAAUAGGAAUCAAUAACAUUUGAGCUAUAAAUUAUAGCCAAAUGAUUUUAUUAAUUCACAUUUA